ACGGCUCAGUAACACGUCGGUAACCUACCCUCGGGAGGGGGAUAACCCCGGGAAACUGGGGCUAAUUCCCCAUAGGCGUGAGGUACUGGAAGGUCCUCAGGCCGAAAGGGACUUAUGUCCGCCCGAGGAUGGGCCGGCGGCCGAUUAGGUAGUUGGUGGGGUAAUGGCCCACCAAGCCGAAGAUCGGUACGGGCUGUGAGAGCAGGAGCCCGGAGAUGGACACUGAGACACGGGUCCAGGCCCUACGGGGCGCAGCAGGCGCGAAACCUCCGCAAUGCGGGAAACCGCGACGGGGGGACCCCGAGUGCCGUGGCAACGCCACGGCUUUUCCGGAGUGUAAAAAGCUCCGGGAAUAAGGGCUGGGCAAGGCCGGUGGCAGCCGCCGCGGUAAUACCGGCGGCCCGAGUGGUGGCCGCUAUUAUUGGGCCUAAAGCGUCCGUAGCCGGGCCCGUAAGUCCCUGGCGAAAUCCCACGGCUCAACCGUGGGGCUUGCUGGGGAUACUGCGGGUCUUGGGACCGGGAGAGGCGGGGGGUACCCCUGGGGUAGGGGUGAAAUCCUAUAAUCCCAGGGGGACCGCCAGUGGCGAAGGCGCCCCGCUGGAACGGGUCCGACGGUGAGGGACGAAGGCCAGGGGAGCAAACCGGAUUAGAUACCCGGGUAGUCCUGGCUGUAAAGGAUGCGGGCUAGGUGUCGGGUGAGCCUCGAGCUCGCCCGGUGCCGUAGGGAAGCCGUUAAGCCCGCCGCCUGGGGAGUACGGCCGCAAGGCUGAAACUUAAAGGAAUUGGCGGGGGAG
Molecule: ribosomal RNA, 794 nt
Filed under: uncultured Thermococcus sp.
Lineage: Archaea; Methanobacteriati; Methanobacteriota; Thermococci; Thermococcales; Thermococcaceae
Description: bacterial SSU rRNA
Rfam family: Archaeal small subunit ribosomal RNA
Source: RNAcentral